RNAcentral lists this ribosomal RNA (301 nucleotides) under uncultured bacterium. Its description in RNAcentral is "partial 16S ribosomal RNA". It matches the Rfam family "Bacterial small subunit ribosomal RNA", at positions 509 to 807 of the family's 1533-position model. The record is from RNAcentral.
CAGCCGCCGCGGUAAUACGUAGGGUGCGAGCGUUAAUCGGAUUUACUGGGCGUAAAGCGUGCGUAGGCGGCUUCUUAAGUCGGAUGUGAAAUCCCUGAGCUUAACUUAGGAAUUGCAUUCGAUACUGGGAAGCUAGAGUAUGGGAGAGGAUGGUAGAAUUCCAGGUGUAGCGGUGAAAUGCGUAGAGAUCUGGAGGAAUACCGAUGGCGAAGGCAGCCAUCUGGCCUAAUACUGACGCUGAGGUACGAAAGCAUGGGGAGCAAACAGGAUUAGAUACCCCAGUAGUCCCUGUCUCUUAUAC